Molecule: ribosomal RNA, 494 nt
Filed under: uncultured bacterium
Lineage: Bacteria
Description: partial 16S ribosomal RNA
Rfam family: Bacterial small subunit ribosomal RNA
Source: RNAcentral
GACGAACGCUGGCGGCGUGCUUAACACAUGCAAGUCGAACGGUGAAGCGCCUUCCUUUUUGGUGGGUGUGGAUGAGUGGCGAACGGGUGAGUAACACGUGAGUAACCUGCCCCCUUCUUCUGGAUAACCGCAUGAAAGUGUGGCUAAUACGGGAUAUUCUGGGUCUGUCGCAUGAUGGGUCUGGGAAAGAUAUUGUUUCGGUGGGGGAUGGGCUCGCGGCCUAUCAGCUUGUUGGUGGGGUGAUGGCCUACCAAGGCGGUGACGGGUAGCCGGCCUGAGAGGGUGGACGGUCACACGGGGACUGGGACACGGCCCAGACUCCUACGGGAGGCAGCAGUGGGGAAUAUUGCACAAUGGGCGCAAGCCUGAUGCAGCGACGCCGCGUGAGGGAUGGAGGCCUUCGGGUUGUGAACCUCUUUCGCCAGUGAAGCAGGCCUGCCUCGUUUGUGGGUGGGUUGACGGUAGCUGGAGAAGAAGCGCCGGCUAACUACGUG